GGCUUUUGUCCGUAUCCCUGAUUAAAUAUAACCUUCUGUUUCCAGUUGUGCUGAAGGUCUAGCAGUCAUUGCCAACAUAUCAAAACAUACCAAAUAUAUCACAACAACAGUAGGCUUUCUACAAGAUCAGUUCAAAUCUAACCCGAAAAUCCUUGACCAGCUUCAGGACGGAACAGGACCGAAACAGUUAUUACAACACACACAAGAUACUCUAUAUAACAUUUCAACACUGGAGAAACAACUGCUCUCACUGAAAUCACAUUUAAAUAAGACUUUAGAAACAGGCAACUAUAACCCUCCAGAUAUAUUGGACAAAGACAGUCAGAAAAAGGUAAAUGGACGGUCACGAAGAUUACCAAUUCUUGUUGUCAUGGCAACCACAGUGGCAGUUAUAGUUUGGAAAAGAGAUCUGUUAUGGAAUCAAUUGGAACAAUUACUGCCAUCUACCUAGCACAGAUUGUGUCAUUUUAUGUUCUAGUCCAUUUACCAAUUUGUGCAAAUGUUAAUUGAUUUUGACAGGCAGAAGAUGCCUGUUCAGACAGAUUAUUUUAAUCAAUACUGACACAGUUGGCCACUUUGUAUUAGGUCAAAAUAUGAAAUGUCUGCUUUUCAGUUCUUAAACAGUAAAAAUCACGACAGGGAGUCUGUUGGUAAGGUUUUCUUGAAUUAAAGGUACAUGAAGCCUCAGAAAUUAUUAUCUAUUACUUUCUGUAAUAAAGACAAAUAUAAUUUAUGUUUUAUGAUGUUGUAAUGAUAGUUUUAUAACAUGUAAGAUGCUUAUUAUAUGAGGAAAAGAGCUUUUGUAAAAGGUAGCAAAAUGUAAACAAAGGUGUAUUUUGACCUCCAUACAAGAUACUGUAAUCAGUUUAACUGUUCUUAUUGCCAAAAUGUAAAAGUUAUCGCCAAAAUGUAAAAGAAGCAAGAGA
Long non-coding RNA from Ruditapes philippinarum (Manila clam), 926 nucleotides. RefSeq lists it as uncharacterized. NCBI's taxonomy places the organism in Eukaryota, Metazoa, Mollusca, Bivalvia, Venerida, Veneridae. The transcript has 3 exons. The record is from RefSeq and is a predicted model, not a curated record.